UAGAGUUUGAUCAUGGCUCAGAUUGAACGCUGGCGGCAGGCCUAACACAUGCAAGUCGAGCGGAAACGACACUAACAAUCCUUCGGGUGCGUUAAUGGGCGUCGAGCGGCGGACGGGUGAGUAAUGCCUAGGAAAUUGCCUUGAUGUGGGGGAUAACCAUUGGAAACGAUGGCUAAUACCGCAUAAUGCCUACGGGCCAAAGAGGGGGAUCUUCGGACCUCUCGCGUCAAGAUAUGCCUAGGUGGGAUUAGCUAGUUGGUGAGGUAAUGGCUCACCAAGGCGACGAUCCCUAGCUGGUCUGAGAGGAUGAUCAGCCACACUGGAACUGAGACACGGUCCAGACUCCUACGGGAGGCAGCAGUGGGGAAUAUUGCACAAUGGGCGAAAGCCUGAUGCAGCCAUGCCGCGUGUAUGAAGAAGGCCUUCGGGUUGUAAAGUACUUUCAGUUGUGAGGAAGGGUGUGUAGUUAAUAGCUGCGCAUCUUGACGUUAGCAACAGAAGAAGCACCGGCUAACUCCGUGCCAGCAGCCGCGGUAAUACGGAGGGUGCGAGCGUUAAUCGGAAUUACUGGGCGUAAAGCGCAUGCAGGUGGUUCAUUAAGUCAGAUGUGAAAGCCCGGGGCUCAACCUCGGAACUGCAUUUGAAACUGGUGAACUAGAGUGCUGUAGAGGGGGGUAGAAUUUCA
Molecule: ribosomal RNA, 685 nt
Filed under: uncultured Vibrionaceae bacterium
Lineage: Bacteria; Pseudomonadati; Pseudomonadota; Gammaproteobacteria; Vibrionales; Vibrionaceae
Description: bacterial SSU rRNA
Rfam family: Bacterial small subunit ribosomal RNA
Source: RNAcentral